AAACAAUUACGCUUUAAAUAAAAAUACACUUAAAUGUAAAAUAUUAUUUUAGUAUGAUGAUUUGAUAGAAUAAACAAUAUAUUCUAUUUUAAAUAUUUUUAUUCGAUAAACAAUUCCCAGUAGACACUUUAUGUAUAUUCAACGAAAAUAUUUAGGUGAAUUUUGGUGUAUUUCGUAUCCGUAGCGAUUUUACUUAAAAUAUAUUUAGGAAAAUAAUUCGCGAAGAUAAGAAAAUUUUUACUAGCGCACCGUGAGCGUUUAACAUUUUUUGUCGAUACCGCUUAUUGUCGUCAGCCUUUUUCGAUUUAAAAUCUGAAAUUUUUACCAGGACAGUAUAGGAAUAUUAGGGAAACCGCUUCUGGAGAAUACUUUUUUUGCACCACACAUUUCAUGGCCGGCGAAACCGGAUACUCUAACCGAAAUCAGUCAGAAUUGUCCGAAGAGUACAAAGAGCUGCAAGAUCGUGAGGUCUACUGGUCACCGGAUGUGCCUAACUAGGUGCCGAAGCUAAGCACACAAAUAUAAUUGAUAGAUUUUUUGUUUAAAUAAUUCUUAUAAAAAUAGAAAUGAAAUUAACGUA
Molecule: long non-coding RNA, 580 nt
Organism: Daktulosphaira vitifoliae (grape phylloxera)
Lineage: Eukaryota; Metazoa; Arthropoda; Insecta; Hemiptera; Phylloxeridae
Exons: 2
Source: RefSeq, a predicted model, not a curated record